Molecule: long non-coding RNA, 4116 nt
Organism: Apodemus sylvaticus (European woodmouse)
Lineage: Eukaryota; Metazoa; Chordata; Mammalia; Rodentia; Muridae
Exons: 8
Source: RefSeq, a predicted model, not a curated record
CGCCCAUAGUCUGUGGGUCGGACGUCUGACAGUCACACCCACCGCGAAGAUCUGCGAGCGGAAACGGAAUCUACUCCCGGGAAAGGCUGAUUGCGCGGUGGCCUGCCGCGUGUGUUGAGGAGAGGCUCUGGAGACUUAAAGAGCCCGACGCUCAAGUGAUCUUGCCAACUACCAUUCCAAUGAAUUCAUGUUUUAUUUUGUUGUGGUACAGGCUCAGGAUCUCCAGUGUCCCCAGCUGCCUCUGAAUUCACUAAGCAGUGAAGUACGGUCUCCGUCUGGACCUCCUGAUCUUCCAGUUUGCUUUGUCUAAGCAUUCCAUCUCCUUCAGGGCCCUACCCAAUUUGUAUGGACCUCCAGAAUGGAAUCUCUGUCUCAGGACUCUGUUACUUAAGCACGUGAUGCCUAAAGCACUAUUAACAACAGAUAAAGCCUUUCACACUGUGGUGAUUCAACGGCCAGUGAAUGAUUAUAAAUCUUUAUUCCAACUGGACUCCUUUUUCUAGUUGCUAAGACUUGUGUAUAGGUGCCUCUGGGCAUGGGAACAAAUGCAGUCAACAUACGCCUUUAAUUUGACAAGGAGAAAGGGCCGUGAACAACUGUAAAUUGUCAUAACAGCAGCAGCUACCAGCCUUGAUUUCUGUAGCAACAAAGAGGAGAGAAGCAGCCUGCUUUGCACAUCAAAGAGGCCCAUCACAUCCUUCAACUGUGGAUGCUCACAAGGUGUGGAAGAGAGUAUCUGAAAUAGAAAUCAUCGCUCCCAGGAAAUGACAUUGAAAUUCUUGGAUCAGCCAAGAGAAUUUAGAGGUGAUCUGCUGCCCUCAUCUGCAUACACGUGGUGCACAUAGACUCAUGCUGGCACACAUACAUUCAUGAAGCUGUUGUUUUCCUUGGUACUCAUGGAAUAGAGAAGUAGCAUGCUGGAGAGGAAAAAUUCAGGCUUUGGGGUGAGGAGGAUCAGCUUCAUCGCCACGUGGACAGGUAAGAUUCAAUUUCCCUAGCUCUCUUCUGAGCGCAGAAUGACUGCAUGUCCUACGUGCGAGGAGCUCUCAAAGCCGUGUUUUAAGUGUGUGUUAAAGAGUCCCAGGUCUCAAACCUGGGACAAAUGGCUGAAGUGCUCAUUAACGUACCAAAGUGGAUGCUGACCGCCAGGUUCUCCCAGCAUCCUUCAGUCUCUGUUACCGGCCCCCUCCUGAUUGGUCCCCUAUCCUGAACUCUCCAGCCCAGGUAUUUCCCCUCCCGGCGUUUCUGACUCCUAUAUAACUCAGCCAUUUUUGGCUAUGUUAACCCCUUGGCCCAGUCUGCCCCUCUUGGUUGGUGAUUCCUUUCUCCUUUCUCUCCCAUCUCCUCACAUGUCCCGGCUCAGGAAUGAAGGUCAUGUUCACUCUGGGUUUUCCCACUGGCUUUCUGCCUGUGCUCUCUCUCUUAUCAACAGUAAACCUCUUCCACCAUACCUAGGAGCAGUCAUGUCCUUCUGUAGCUUGACUUUUGGGGUACUUUAUUGGGUUCUAUGAUCUACUACUCUUCCAACCCUUAUCCCACCCUAAUACCUUCCAACCUUCCAACACUAGGUAGGAAAUAGAAAAGGUUGGGGGGCACCAACCUUUGGGCUGAUUAGGGGCAUCCAGGUUCCUUGGGGGCAAGUCCAAUCUCAGUCAUCAGGAUACCUACAACAAGAAAUUCAGCAAUUCAGCAAUAGCAAAAGCAGCAGCAGCGGGAACAGCAGCUGCCACAGCCCUCUGGAGCUCUGGCAUUUAUACCUUCUCAAGAGUCCGCAGAAUGCCAAACAUAAACUAUAUGCAGCUGGCAAAAAUCACGCCCUCCUGGAGCAUGAGACAGUUAUAGUCAGCGGUUGUGGACAGUCUGAAGUGGCUGCAUAUCCCACACCUGGGAUUGAACAAAAACAUAUUCACAUAACUGGGUUUUUAAAGAAACCAAAGUUGUCACUAUAUCUUUUUUUAUUGUUUUAUUCAAAGAGUCCAGUGCAAUCUCUGGUAGGUGUCUCCAGCACCAGAGUGACACUCGGGGGAGCCUGAGGGCUGGAAGUACAGGGGCAAGAAACAUCUUUGAAAACACUUCAGUGCCCAAACUGCUCACGGUGUUUCUGCCUUGUGAGCCAGGACACAAGGCUUUGAGUCACUACUUUUCAUUCCCUCCAGGAUGAACAAGAUGUUUGUUUUGUGCACAGUAGUGGAACACAGGGCCUCCAGCAUGGUGCUUGUAUGUUCUCUCAGUGGGCUCCACCCAGUUGAGAAACUAAGGUUUGUAUUGGAAUUCAGCACUCCCUAUGUUCCAGACACAUGCAUGUGCUUUCCACCAACUUUUUUUUUCUGUCCAAUCCCUGACAGCUAAUCUGAGUAUCCCCUGCCAUUCUGAGGUGAGCCGUGCUAGAGAUCCCGUCGCAACUCUCCAGUCACGAUUUUCCUGACUGGACCCUUUGUCCUCUCUCAAUUCAAAUACUCUCAAUUUGGAUCAUAUGUUACAGCAUGCAUGUGUGGGGGUGUGCCCGUGCUGUAUCACAGAUAUGGAGAUCAGAGAACAACUUGUAGGCAUCAGUUGUCUCUCCAUACUAUGUGUGGGCCCUGGGGAGCCAAUCAGGCUGCCAGCUUUGGCAGCAGGCACUUCACCCACUGUGCUCUCUCACCAGCCCUCGCCCAGCUAUGAUCUUUUUCUUUCUUCCCAUGCCAGGAACAGAACAGUGCAUGAACAUCUUGAAUAUGCUACCCAAGCCUCUAACAGCCAAGCUAAUCCACCAGCAGCUAAUCUGCAGACAUCCUUUCAUUGAGCAGUUAUUUCUCCCUCGAUGUUCUGAUUGCUGCAGGUGACCUCCAAAUACUUUUGAACCCUUGCUCAAAAAAAAAAAAAAAAAGCUGGAGAGAGAGGUGAACAUGAAAAGGGGGAUGGAAGAGGCAAAGGGAGAGAAGCAGGCAAUCGACUCCACAAUGAUACUCAUUCCUUUAUUGUCAACUGUGUUAAUCUCAACAGGGCUGGGGCCUGCAGGCUGCUGGCAGCACCAAGCUAGGGUGCAUUUCCACUUAACAGAAAGGCCUCCAUCCUAAACCAAGGGGACAGAGGUUAAUGCUUUGUAUAUAUUUAUAUAUUUAUAUAUUACAUAUGUCCCAUAUGUAUAGAGUGACAAGAAUGGGCCACUGUGUGUAACUUUAAUUAAAGGCCAUAGCAACAUACAUAGAAAUUUGAUCCUAAUUAAGGCCCUUACUUUGUCAAUCAAAUGUCUGAUACAGUGAAAGAAAAAGGAGAGAGACAGAGACUGAGAUCCAGCCACCUUCAGUAGCCCUGUCCCCAGGGUAUCCUACAUUGAGUGUAGUGCCCCCUGUACAGGCAAACAUAAACACACAUGUACAUACAUAAACACGCAUGUACAAUACCAUAGGCAGGAGCACCUCCUCUGAGCACACCUUGGGCCCAGCAUUUGGCUGCGGUGCUGAAGUGGGGAUAUUGUGCUCUAAGACGGUGAGGGUAGUGACCCAGAUAAUGCGGAGUCAGUGUGUCCAGGUGAUGAGUGGGGUGGCUCAUGCAGCUUCAUCUACAAAUGACAGAGGUGGGGGGGUCCCCCAAUGCCCAGGUCACAUCGGGAGAUUUCUACACACAGCUCCUGUCCCAGAGAAAGCCAUUCCUCUGGUUUGAAUCCUGAGUGUCAAAUAAUCAGAGGGCUCUGAUGGAAACCUAGGAGUCCCUUGAAGGACAGGCAACCGCAAGGCUCAACCAUUCAGUCCAGUAGAACAGUAGAAAGGACAACAGCGGAGUCAAAGCAAGAGAUGCUCAGACAGGACCUUGAAUGGUGCAAGAAGGGCUUGUUUCCCAGAGGACGAGAACGGCCUGCUGCCCUUCGCCACACAAAACUUCUGGCAGAUCUGUGUCAUCUUCAUGCCUUACAGAAGUAAGAGACCUGCUUAUAAGCCUGGGAAGGGGACUCCCAACACUGGAGCACUUGAAAUCUUAACUCCUGUCUCCUCUCACUGAAUUUACCCUCUACCACCCACCAAAAUAUACAUAUUGAAAAGUCAUGGGAGACCUUGAACUUCUGAUCUGUCUGCCUUCAUCUCCCAAGUGCUGGGAUUAAAGGUGUACAGUGCAUGCACCACCAAACGCAGUUUAAAC